AACACAUGCAAGUCGAGCGGAAACGAGUUAACUGAACCUUCGGGGAACGUUAACGGCGUCGAGCGGCGGACGGGUGAGUAAUGCCUAGGAAAUUGCCCUGAUGUGGGGGAUAACCAUUGGAAACGAUGGCUAAUACCGCAUAAUAGCUUCGGCUCAAAGAGGGGGACCUUCGGGCCUCUCGCGUCAGGAUAUGCCUAGGUGGGAUUAGCUAGUUGGUGAGGUAAGGGCUCACCAAGGCGACGAUCCCUAGCUGGUCUGAGAGGAUGAUCAGCCACACUGGAACUGAGACACGGUCCAGACUCCUACGGGAGGCAGCAGUGGGGAAUAUUGCACAAUGGGCGCAAGCCUGAUGCAGCCAUGCCGCGUGUGUGAAGAAGGCCUUCGGGUUGUAAAGCACUUUCAGCAGUGAGGAAGGCGGAGUCGUUAAUAGCGGCCUCGUUUGACGUUAGCUGCAGAAGAAGCACCGGCUAACUCCGUGCCAGCAGCCGCGGUAAUACGGAGGGUGCGAGCGUUAAUCGGAAUUACUGGGCGUAAAGCGCAUGCAGGUGGUUUGUUAAGUCAGAUGUGAAAGCCCGGGGCUCAACCUCGGAAUAGCAUUUGAAACUGGCAGACUAGAGUACUGUAGAGGGGGGUAGAAUUUC
RNAcentral lists this ribosomal RNA (641 nucleotides) under uncultured Vibrio sp. RNAcentral's name for it is "bacterial SSU rRNA". It matches the Rfam family "Bacterial small subunit ribosomal RNA", at positions 50 to 670 of the family's 1533-position model. The record is from RNAcentral. Lineage: Bacteria; Pseudomonadati; Pseudomonadota; Gammaproteobacteria; Vibrionales; Vibrionaceae.